This is a long non-coding RNA of Scleropages formosus (Asian bonytongue), 1806 nucleotides long. The record is from Ensembl. NCBI's taxonomy places the organism in Eukaryota, Metazoa, Chordata, Actinopteri, Osteoglossiformes, Osteoglossidae.
GAGAUGUUUCUUAGCAACAGGUGCAUCUCCGAGGAGACAGCGCUCAAGCACACGAUCGCGCAUGCACACCACACCUGACACCUCGAACCCGUGGUUGUUCAAGGGUCUAGACGUGUUCCGAGGAUUAGGGAGGCUUCCCACCUGCACCCCCCCCCCCCCCACCCCGCUGAGUGGAAACCUGUGGCGUUUUUCCAGCAAACCCGUCAGCGUCACGACUCCUCGAGGCCCGAGGAAGAACAGAUGGACUUGUUUGUGCGUUGACACUGGUCCUCAGAAGAAGCGUGUCCAAGCCACCGUGCGCCGCACCGACAGCUCGACAGCGAUGUACCCCACCAUCCUGUCAGAGGUGAACCCUGGAACCCUGCCUAACCGUGCACCUGUGCUUCCGGGAUAGGCUCCGGACCUCCGGCACCCCGACCCGAGCAAGCGGUGAUUGACACUUAGCGAGCGGGUCAAUGUUUACCCACAUAGUUGAACACCCUGCGCAGUAACCGUUCGACAUCCAGUCUCCCAGUGUUACAGGACGGGUCAUAUAAUAUCCUCUCAUAAUAUAGCUGCCUUUAUUAAUACAGCUCAUGUAGACCUCCCUCCAUCCCUGCUCAGGUUUUACCUUGGAUCAAGGUCAAGACAGCUCGUUCAGUGUCUUCUUCUCUGACGAAGCCUUCGGUAGAACCUGAGCUCCGGUGAGCCAGGUCAUUUGCUUCCUGGUCGCGCACACAGGUGGACUCAGAAGGCAAAGAGAGUUUAAUCAUUAAUCACGAAGAGAGAUUAAAAAGAUGGGCCAUUUCCUCUGGGGUCCUGGACCAAUUUAAACCCUGCUGGCUGAUUCCAUAAGUGCUGUACACUGAAAUGUGGGUGCCCUGAUGAAAUAUUUCUAAAUUGGAGAAUGCAGGACAGGUACGGAUUGCUGGAGAAGGGCAAUUUGUCCCCUGGCGCAGCCGUUGGGAUGGCAAAGAGGGGUUUAUUGUGGAUGGAAAAAUCAGCAUAAUAACGUGGCAUCGUUAGGGUGCCGACAACCGAGAGGAGAUCUGCGGUCGUAUUUUAGCUGACGUUCCAUGACGAGCCCAACGGUUGUUUGGUCUCGUGCAGCUUCGAUGGUUCUUGUGACAGCCAGGGCUUUAGACGGAGUUCAGUAUUAAACCGCUGCCAAGUGCACCUUUUGUCAUUAUGGCGAGAAAAAUGGCGAGAAAAGCAGUCGGCUGUAACUCAACGUGGAUUUCUUUGACAGAGGUGCUUCACUGCGAGCGCUAUAUUUAGUUUUAUUUAGGUAUUAUUCUCCCAGAAUGUCAACCCAAAAGGUUGUUGUAUUAUGGUGUAUUACAGUUGGCAUGAGUAUAAACCUGUUCACUGUCAAUUAUAUACAGCCUCGAGAAAGUCUGUCAAUCAUUUGGAGGUAUCUGGGUUUCAGCGUGAAUGGCUUUUAAAAUCACGUGAUUGUGAUAUGAUCUUCAUUUUAGUCAUAGCAGUAGAUAAAGAUGGAUUAAAUAAGCGGAGCACGGAAUGGUGCAUUGUUACAUCUUUAGUGUGUGUGUAGGGAACGUAUUGUAACGACCCGCGUUACUGUUUAAAUGUAGAUAGUUGCAUUAUGGGAAAUAAUGUUAAAUGGUGUGUAACCGCUGGGGCCACUUCGGGGGGAAAUGGUGGCUUGCCUGUGUCUGCCACUGUGUUGGGAGAGCUUAGGGGUGUUAAGGCAGGCUGGCUGUAAGUGCAGGUCCUAGAGGAAAAGGGGUCUUUGGACCGAGAGCAUUAUUCCCUUUGUGCUGGUGUUCAAAUAAACCCUUCGUUAUGAAUGUUGCUUCCGCGUCC